Molecule: long non-coding RNA, 267 nt
Filed under: Coffea arabica (coffee)
Lineage: Eukaryota; Viridiplantae; Streptophyta; Magnoliopsida; Gentianales; Rubiaceae
Description: long non-coding RNA (CARA_LNC003800)
Source: RNAcentral
AGUCCAUGGUGGCCUGCUCUGCAGCUUAGCUAGGGUUAAGGCCGUACUGUUGAAACACAUAACGAGGUAGGCUGAUAAGAAACCGCCCCGUUAAUUGGAUGGAGAGGCGGCAGAGAAUCAUGCUGUUUACCCCACCCGACCUCCACUUUCUCAGAAUGCAUCAUCUUAACCUUACCUGCUGUUGCCGUUUGAGUGUUAUUUCCCAUAAAAAAACUAUUGCAGAUUUGCAGAACAAACACUUGAUACAUUUUCCCAUAUGUAGACAUU